UACAGAGGGUGCGAGCGUUAAUCGGAAUUACUGGGCGUAAAGCGUGCGUAGACGGUUAUUUAAGUCGGACGUGAAAGCCCCGGGCUCAACCUGGGAAUUGCAUUCGAGACUGAAUAGCUAGGGUGCGGUAGAGGGAAGCGGAAUUUCCGGUGUAGCGGUGAAAUUCGUAGAUAUUCGGAAGAACACCAGUGGCGAAGGCGACUAACUGGACAUGUAUUGACGCUGAGGUGCGAAAGCGUGGGGAGCAAACAGG
RNAcentral lists this ribosomal RNA (253 nucleotides) under uncultured bacterium. Its description in RNAcentral is "partial 16S ribosomal RNA". It matches the Rfam family "Bacterial small subunit ribosomal RNA", at positions 524 to 776 of the family's 1533-position model. The record is from RNAcentral.